GAGUAAGCAGCAUAUAGUCUUUGUUGGGGCUUCUUUAAGUGUUUUGAUUGAUUAAAAGUUUUAGGGCUUUCAGGAGUGGAUUUCCUAGUUAAGGAUUGAAUAAGCAUCUAAUGAACAAUCCAUCCAUAUCUAGUGGGAAUGUGUCUCAUAGGUGCAUAAUGGGCAAAUUUUAAAUUAGCCAUUUUGACUUCUGAUGAUAUGAUAUCUUAAUUCAGUAAAUCUUUAUAUUUAAAUUUGUUUCAGUCAUGCCUCUUUGUAGAACCUUUUCUAGAUAAUUAUUUGAUCAUUUCUUAAGAACUUUAGCGGCCGUAUUACUUCCAAAUUCAACUAUUGCAUCAUAUUUUCUUCAUUUUGGAUUUUACAGGUGAAUGAUUGUAAGUUCUUCUUCCGCUUAUUUUGAUCAUUUAUUGAGGAUUUAUUUCCAUAUAAUUCUAGAGCUAAUGAGAUUUUCUCAUAAAUACUGUUUCAUCUGAUAUGGAUCUCAUUUGUUGGUGCUCAAAGUUCCCGAAUAACUAAGCAUUGUUCCCAAAUUUGUAUGUUUCACAUAUGCAUAUCAGUUAUUGGAUCUUUUUUUAUCUUUUUCUUUUUAAUCUUUUUGUUCUUCGUUUUAUCUUUCUUGUACAAUUUUUUUGUUUUUAAGAGUAAAUUAUGCUGACCCCUCUCGAGGUUUGUGGUAAUGACGUGAUCCACCCAACAUUUCGAAAAUAGACACAGAACACUCGAGUCAAACAUAAAAAUUAAAAAUUUAAAAAAUAAAAAAAUAUCAAAAUAAAAAAUAUAAGAUAUUUUAAGAUUCAAAUCGGUUAGAUAGUGAUGAUAUCAAUAAGAUCAAUAAUUUAUUUAACAGAAAGAUAUUAGUAGAGGAUUACGUGUCAUGUAUGUAGCAAAAGUUAAAUAGUAGAAUAUAUAUUUCUAAAAUAUUGGGUGGAGAAUCUGUAAUUAUCUCAAAUUUCGAGAGAGGUUAUUAUAAUUUACUCUUUCUUUAAUAAUGGGAGUGUUUAAUGUUUUUUUUGUAUUUUCAAAAAAAAAAUUCAUGAAUUUAGAGUAUUGAGGCUCUCAUGGAUAUAUUGAUAUCUUGUUAUUUUGAACCAAAAGGGGGAAUACUAAGUAUAAAUUACUGACAUGAAACUUCAAUUACCCAUUUUUAAUUCAGACCUUGAAUAAAUCAACUAUUCUGGUCUAACAUCUCAAUUCAAUUUAUAAACCACACCAAGAGCAUGAUGUUGAAGAUUGAUGAAUUUGUUCUCUUAUUGGACGAGUCUCUUCUUUAUUUUAUGUCUAUUGUUUUUUGUGGGAUUGUUAGUUUUGAGUGGGUUUUCUGUGGUAGUGACUUACCUCUUAUCAUGCUGCAGCAGACUCUGCCAUUGUGUGACUUCUACUGUUAGUUCUGAGCCGGAUUUAUGUGGGAGAACUUGCUGAAGCUUCGG
Molecule: long non-coding RNA, 1427 nt
Filed under: Elaeis guineensis (African oil palm)
Lineage: Eukaryota; Viridiplantae; Streptophyta; Magnoliopsida; Arecales; Arecaceae
Description: long non-coding RNA (EGUI_LNC038055)
Source: RNAcentral